GUGCAUCUUACAGUCAAUGGGAAAGACAAAAAACAAAAUGAGCAACGGGAAUGAGUACCACGUGCAGAAAUGCCAAUAGGAAGAAGUGCCGAGGAGAAAAACUAGGGCAGACAGCAAGGCAAAAGGAGUUGAAGAAGGCAUGCUGACAUUUUAAACCAAGGAGGGCCUCACUGAGGAGGCGGCAUUUCAGUAAAGGCCUGAAGGAAGCGCGGGAGUGAGGCACACAGAUGUCCCGUGAAGUGUGUUCCAAGCAGAGGUAGCGGCCAUGCAGAGGCCGGAGGCCUGGCCGCCCAAGGAGAAACCAAGGAGACUGGGGAGGCUGAGUGGAAAGACAGGCCAGAGAUGGGGGAGGUGGCAGUCGUGAGAUCAGGUGGUCCUGGAGCCCACUGCGGGGUGAGCUUUUCCUGUGAGUGAGGUGGGAGCCAAGGGAGAGUGUGGAGCAGAGGAGGGAGGAUCUCUGACUUGGCUUUAACAGACCCUCCGGCUGCUGCAGGAGAAUGGGCUGCAGCGGGAUAGAGCCGCGUACAGGAGGGAGGGUGCUCACUGGUCCAGGUGAGUAGCCUGAGGCCAGAGAGCAGUAGGAACCUGUGGCCUCCCAACCCUUGUCUUCUCCUGCAAAGAACAGAGGAUUGGGAUUCACGCCAGAAGGUACAGAAAUGGCCAACACAGACGAGAUGCCUCAAGUCUAGGUUAUGCGCAUGGAAUCACAUGGUAUCAUUCCUCAUUUCUGGAGUAAAAGGCAAGAAUACUGACAACAAGCAGUGCCGGGCAGCUGUGGGACAGGUGGAGCCCCCAUGGACCCUGCUUCUGGCGUGCAGUUUGUCAAUAUGACACUCAAAAUUCUGCGGAAGCUUUGAUCCAGUGACUUACCUCGAAUAAUUUAUCUUCAUUUUUUAAAAUUUAUUUAUUUAUUGAGACAGGGUCUCGCUCUGCCACCCAGGCUGGAGUGCAGUAGCACGAUCGCAGCUCACUGCAGCCUUGACCUCCGGACUCAAGCAAUCCUCCUGCCUCAGCAUCCCUCAAAUAGUGCAACCACAGGUGUGCACCAACACACCCAGCUACUUUUUAAAUUUUUUUGGAAAGAUGGGGUCUCACUAUGUUGCCCAGGCUGAAUUUAUCUUUAAAGGGCACGAAUAAGAUGAGUGGACAAAGAAGACCCAGUUAUGUCAUGGGGAAACCUGGAAGCCACCCCAAGAGCACAGCUUUGCAAGUGGAUGAGAGUUCCAAUCUCAGCCCAGCUGUGUGAUUCUGGGCAACUGUCCUAACCUCUCUGAACUUCAGUUUCCUCAUCUGUAAGGUGGGAAUAAUGGCAAUACCCAACCCCUCCAGGGCCGUCUGAGGAAGACAUAAGACUACAUGGGUAGAAUGCUUACCUUUAGGCACACAAGAGACAAUUUAUAUAAAGGAAAAAGUUGGUGGUCCCAUAUGAUGGAUUAUUAAACAGCUUUACAAAUAAAGAAGAGCCUCUCUGGGCCUCAGUUUCCCUCUUGAACAAAGAAAAAUUGGUCCUGGGAGCUCACUGCGUGGCUCCUCGACUCUCUGCAGCGAUCCCUCCCUUCCUGGCCCUGGCUGUGACUCCCUGGCAGCUGAGCAACUGGGUAGGAGAGGGACAUGGCUCAGUCUGUCUGUUGGGCCAUGCGUCAUUCUCAGCUUAGACCCAGCCUUGCCUGUCACAGGAGAGGGCGGGGGAGGGGAGGAGAGCCCAGAGGCCCAACUCCUCUACCCCUGGGCCCUGCCCCUCUGGCUCAGCCAGCAGGAAAGGCCAGUGGAAGGUGGGGGGCUUGUCUCACUGCCCUCUCCCCCAGGGAGGGGCAUUUGUGGCCAGAUCCAGUUUCUGGCAGGACUGGUUAGUCCAGGUGGCCUGGAUGGAUGGCCGAGAUAAGGUCUGUGCAGAUUGGCCAGGCUGGGCAGGAGACCCAAGCGGGACAAAGACAGGAUAGCCCUGGCCCAGCCUGAUUCACAGGUGGGGUUAGGAGCUGCCCCUGUCUUGUCCCAGCCUCUGUCACCAGAUUUUGGGGGCCAGGCACCCAGGUAUCCUCUAGGAACCUCCCGUCACUGCCUGCGGUGAGGUGGCACAGAAAGAGGUGAUCCUGGGGAGAGGUGUUACAGGUCCAAGGUGGCCCAGCACUUGAGGGGGUGCUGCAAGGAAGAGUUUUUACCAGCCCCUGAUGAGGCUCUAAAGCCCAGAGACAGCAUGACCUGGGGCUGCCUGGGUGUGAGGUUGUUGAGGAUUCUGGGUUGCAGGUAGGCACCGUCUUGGUUUCUCUGUCUCUGUCUGACAUUCCAGACGCUCCCAGGGCCUGGCUGGGCCAGCUUCCCUCAUGGGCUUGGUUCUCACAGACCCAGUCACAAAAACCAUGCUGCCAGCACUUAGUACAGCCUCAGGCCUAUACCACCUCCGUCCCUCAUCAGUGGGGUGCCCUCUGCCUGGUGGUUCCUGCCAGCCUCAGGCCAGGGGUUCAGAGAGCAAGUCUCUCUCAUAGGUGCUAUAGCCCCAGGGACCCAGGGCAGAGCACAACUCAGCCUCCCAGGCUGCCAGCAAUUCACUUACUAUACUGAACAUUCUGUUUCCUCCUCCACGACCACAGCCAUCCCUCUCCAUGCCCUGUGUGCUCUGCUGCCACGGUCCCCUUGCCCUUGCCUCUGGUCUGGUUCACCAAUGGGGACACCAGCUGAAGACUGGAAGGGUGGAAGGAGAGAGUGGCCAGAACUACUCAUCCAGCAUCUCCUGGGUUGAGGCUGGCCAUGUCCUGACUAAGAGCCACAGUCCCCACUGUGGUGGGAGGGUGGCCCUCUCCUGGGCUGCAGCUUGGGAGAGCUCCAGUAACAGCCCUGCUCCCACUCCCUAGAGGCAGGAAUGGUGGCUUCCUGCUCUCUGUACUGUCACCAUCCCUUAAGCAGCAUCUGUAAGUGGCCAGCUCAUUAAGCCCUUUCCCCUAGUUUGCAGACUACGUCUCCUGCCAGGAUCGGAUCAGUAAACCUCAGGACUCUCACAGCCCUACAGGGCAGCUGGAGCCAUCCCAUUUACAGAUGAAGAAACUGACUCAGAAUCAAAAACAACAAAUCCGGAGCCAUCACAUUACUCAACUUCAAACUAUACUAUAAGGUCAUAGUCACCAAAGCAGCAUGGUACUGGUAUAAAAAUAGUCACAUAGACCAAUGGAACAGAAUAGAGAACCCAGAAAUAAAGCCAAAUACUUACAGCCAACUGAUCUUUGACAAAACAAACAAAAACAUAAAGUGGAGAAAGGAAACCCUAUUCAAUAAAUGGUGCUGGGAUAAUUGGCAAGCCACAUGUAGAAUGAAACUGGAUCCUCAUCUCUCACCUUAUACAAAAAUCAACUCAAGAUGGCUCAAAUACUUAAAUCUAAGACCUGAAACCAUAAAGAUUCCAGAAGAUAACAUCGGAAAAACCCUUCUAGACAUUGGCUUAGGCAAAGCCUUCAUGACCAAGAACCCAAAAGCAAAUGCAACAAAAACAAAGAUAAAUAGAUGGGACCUAAUUAAACUGAAAAGCUUCUGCACAGCAAAAGAAAUAAUCAGGCUGGGCGCAGUGGCUCACGCCUGUAAUCCCAACAUUUUGGGAGGCUGAGGUGGGCGGAUCACGAGGUCAGGCGAUCGAGACCAUCCUGGCUAACAUGGUGAAACCCUGUCUCUACUGAAAAAUACAACAAAAAUUAGACAGGCGUGGUGGUGUGCACCUGUAGUCCCAGCUACUCAGGAGGCUGGGGCAGGAGAAUGGCAUGAACCCAGGAGGCAGAGCUUGUAGUGAGCCUAGAUCGCGCCACUGCACUCCAGCCUGGGCGACAGAGCGAGACUCCGUCUCAAAAAAACAAAAAAGAAAUAAUCAGCAGAGUCUGUUAAGACAACUAUAAAGUAGGAGAAAAUCUUUACAAUCUGUAUCUCUGACAAAGGACUAACAUCCAUAAUCUACAAAGAACUCAAACAAAUCAGCAAGAAAAAACAAACAAUCCCAUCAAAAACUGGGCUAAGGACAUGAAUGGAACUAAAAGUAAAUCUACCAUUUGAUCCAGCAAUCCCACUCCUAGGUAUCUACACAGAGGAAAAGAAGUCAUUAUACAAAAAAUAUACGUGCACACACAUGUUUAUAACAGCACAAUUUGUAAUUGCAAAAAUAUGGAACCAAUCUAAAUGCCCAUCAAUCAACAAGUGGAUAAAGAAAAUGUGGUGUAUAUAUACCAUGGACUACUACUCAGCCAUAAAAAGUAACAAAAUAAUGACAUUCGCAGCAACCUGGGUGGAAUUGGAGACCAUUAUUCUAAGUGAAGCAACUCAGCAAUGGAAAACCAAACAUCGUAUGUUCUCACUCAUGUGUGGGUGCUAAGCUAUGAGGACGCAAAGGCAUAAGAAUGAUCCAUUCAUUGGACUUUGGUGACUCAGGGGAAAGGGUGGGUGGUGAGGGAUAAAAGAUUACACUUUGGGUACAGUGUACACCACUCAGGUGAUAGGCGCACCAAAAUCCCAAAAUCUCAGAAAUCACUGCUAAAGAACUUGUUAAUGUAACCACUUGUUCCCCCAAACCCUAUUGAAAUAAAACAAGCACCACUUGUUCCCCCAAAAACUUAUUGAAAUAAAAAAAUUUAAAAAUAAAACAAAAAAAGAAAAAGAAAAGAAAAGAAAGGAACUGAAGCUCACAGAGAACUCGCUUCCCCACGGGGCCUUCCUUUAUGGGACCCAAGAGCUGAACCACAAAUGACCUCCCCCA
This 4726-nucleotide long non-coding RNA is filed under the name Homo sapiens (human). RNAcentral describes it as "HSALNT0060259". The record is from RNAcentral. Lineage: Eukaryota; Metazoa; Chordata; Mammalia; Primates; Hominidae.